CCUGGCGCAGGGCGUGGCGCGGGGGGGCACGGGCCCCGGCGGUCGCGGGGUUGGCGUGGCGCGAUGCUCCCGCCGGGGCCAGCGCGCGCCACCAUGCUCCCGGCCCGCGGGACCCCCGGCGCCACGCCACCGCCCGGGUGCGGGGCCGCGCCGGCGGAAGAGCAACCGGACCUGUCCCGAAGGGCCAUUCGUGCCUGUAUUGAGCACUGAUCUUCAGCAGUGGUGCCCUUUCAGAAGGUGGUGGACACUCAGGAGGUAGAACCUGGAUGAAUUCAGAAGUGGGUUUCUUGAAAUAGAACUUUAAAGAUGGAAAAGAAUAGCAGAGACACGGAUGGACAAUGUAAGGACACUGGGGAACUAUGAAAGGGAUGGACAGCAUUCUCACGUGGCAACAGUGGUCUGAAGCUUGGUGGCUCAGUUUACUUUUAGGUCAAGCUGAAUCUCUACAUCACUAAGAGAUUCCUUGAUGGAAGUGAGAGAUGGCCAAGUGGGAAGAAAGUGGAACCAAUGGGAAAGCCUUCACUACAUAGCAUCAUUGGCUUUGGAAUUAACAGCUUCAGAUGCCAAACAUGGAUGAAAUGCUGACUUUGAGCAACUGUUUGGAUCAGCAGGUGUGACAAAACUCCUGAAAAAGCAGCUUCAUAAAGAAAGGUUUUCUUUUGGCUUUUAGUUUCUUCGUUUCGGAGAAUGUAUGGCAGAAUGGCUCAGGCUGUGGGUCCUACCUUGGACAGAUACCACCACAUUGAGGAACAGGUCUUCAGUAAAUCAACCCUGGGAAGACAAACUACAUUUAAAUCAUUUCAAGGGGCCAGCAAUAUGACUCAACAGAUAAAGACAGUGUGAAGCCUGGUGACCUGAGUUCAAGCCCCUGGCAUCCACAUGGUAGAAAGAAAAAGCUGACUCUGAAGGCUGUACUCCUCUGACCACCACAUACAUGCUGUGGUAUACCUUAUACUCCCUCCCAUGAAUAAAUAAAUGAAAACAUUAAACCACUUCCAAACCAUUACACUUGCUCAACCUGAACACCCAGGAUAUGGUUGUAGACACUAAGCAUUAAAAAUUCUCAGUUACAAUGUGGGGAGUGCUAAGUUAGUGGGCCAGGUGACCGUCUAAAGCACCUCAUAUGAUCCUAGCAUUGUGGCGGGUACUCUUAGUCAGUGGAGUUUUAUCACAACCAUCAUCUGCAUGCAUGCAAGUCAGCUCAAUUUCUGUAUAGCCUCUUGGUGGUGUACCAAUUCUGCCUUUUUCUUGUCUGUGGCCUGGGGAAAUGGCAAUUCCAACUUCCUAAGGCAGUAUCUUGGGAUUCAUGGAGUGUAGGUCUAUGUGAUUCUCAAUGUACCUACCUACCAUCCGUCAGUAAGUGAUGGGGAAUAUUAUGAUCUGUUCUCAUUAAAAUUCAUGUUGAAACUUAAUACCAGAUGGAAGAAAAGCCAGCAGACAUCCAUAUCCGCAUUCUACACCUCCUGGCCUGUGAUGAUAUGAGCUUCUCUGCUCUGCCAUGCACUGCCUGCCAUGAUGGACUGAGCCCUCUGAGGUCAUGAAAAAAGGAUGGACUGAGCCCUCUGAGGUCAUGAAAGAAGACACAAGGCUGACACCUUCUACUGAGGACUAUGGAAUUAGUCAGGAACCAACACAGCCUGGAGGAGCAAUGCCUAUAGGAUCACACUAUCCAUGAGCAAAGAAAGAUUGCAAGAACUUCAAAAAGAACCCAGAACAAGACAGAGAACACACUGUUCCAAGCCAUGGAGUAGUAGAGAAAGGUUUCCCAGUAUGUGCUCUACAGACUGGCAGCAUCCACACCUCUUUUUUUUUGGUGGUAGAGCAUAAAUACUCUCUACUACCACAAAUUAUGCAGCCGACUUUCCUGCAUUUGGAGAAAUCAUGGGUUAGCAUCCCUGGAGUGCAAUGGAUGAGCCUCACCUUAGGAAAAUCACCCUCAUGAUCAUGAGAUCUCCCCUGCCAGGAGGAUCAUCAGCAUGGUGUAAAGCUAACCAUGGUCCUGGGAGUCAGACUGCCUGGGCUCAACAUGACUUUGUGUUUCCAGCGGAUUCAUUCACCUUAGUUCUAACCUGGCACCGAAGUCCUUGGAAACUCCUGGAGAAUCAUUGGUCUUCUUCUGUGCAUUCUGGAAAGCCAAAGGAGAUGGUAUCUGAUGUCAGCAGAGAACGACAGUGACAGCAACAGAGAAAGAUGCUCAGGAAGAAGGCGGCAGGCAUGCAGGCAGUGCUGAUUAUGUGGGAGCCACAGGUGUAUGUGAUGUGACCUGCUGCUUCAAACUCCUGCUACUAUGGCUUCCCUGCUGUGAUGGUUUGCAACUUAAACUACUCAUCACCAACUGUAAUGGAUUUUCUACUUACAGCUUCUCUCCUGCAUGAUGCUGAAGAGCAGGUGCCUUGUCUGUCUUCUUUGUGCCUUGUGAGCACUUGCUGGGACAGAGUGGACACUUAACUGAGAUCUGUGGAUGAAUGAUAAAGCAGUAGUGUGGAUACUCUAGGAGCAUCUUGCUCAACAGUCUCUUUUGGAUCCUCAUAAAGUGGGUAUCCAAGUCCAUGGAAUGGAACGGCUCACAUUUAUGAUGGAUCUUCACCUCAAUCAGCCUAACCUAGAUGAUCCCCUACAGACAACUCAUUUCAAUGAACCUUUCUCACAGCUUUCCUUGGGAAGAGAGAUGUCCAGCAGCAGCAAGUUCAAGCUCAAAGGAAAUAAAAAGAUUUGGCCAUGCUACAGGCAUCUGUGAUAGAAGACCAGGUAAAAGGACAUGGGGAUUAAAGAGGAGACCCCAUUUGUGGAUUGCUGCUCUGAGAGUCUGUGCUACUGGUCUUAUAUUCAAGAAGUUGUCUCCUAUGCCAAUGUGUUCAAGGCUUCUUCUUACUUUGUCUUCUACCAGACUCCUGCUGAUGGUGAAGGGCUGAGUUUGGUUAUGAGAACUCGUCAGGACAGCCACUACUGGCAGUGGCCAUGCCAAUAUUGUGGGCUGGGGUUCCCAUGUACAAGACAGGUGCUGUUCAGAUACAGCCACAAUCACAAUCAAGUUUGUUGUGGCCAGAAAUAUGUAAAAGAGUCUCAAACUAAGAACUCUGUCACUUCACAGAAACAAGAGACUUCAUCCAGUAGCUGUUCGAAGCAGAAACAGGCACCCACAGCUAAGCACUGAACCAUACUCCUGGAAUCCAGUUGUGGAGACGGAGGACAGAUGAGCAAAGGAGCCAAAACAGUGCUGCAGAAACCCGCAGAAACAGUUGACCUGACCUAGUGAGAGCAUGGAGACACUAGUCAUAAAACUGCAGAAACAGCAUUGGACCGAACCAAGCCCUCUGAAUGUGGGUGCCAGCUAGGUAGCCAAGUCAGUCUAUGGGACCUCUAACAGUGGAGCCAGUCUUUAACCCUAGAGCACAAAUGGACUUUGGGAGCCCAUUCCCUAUGGAGGGAUACUAUUGUAGCUCAGAUACAGCAAGGAAGGCCUAGGCCCUCCCCCAAACAAUACGACAGACUUUGAAGGUCCCUGGUAGAGGACCUCACUAUCCCUGGGGAGGAGUUGGGG
This 3541-nucleotide long non-coding RNA is filed under the name Cricetulus griseus (Chinese hamster). RNAcentral's name for it is "lncRNA (ENSCGRG00015035420.1)". Lineage: Eukaryota; Metazoa; Chordata; Mammalia; Rodentia; Cricetidae. The record is from RNAcentral.